This 65-nucleotide transfer RNA is filed under the name Nortia carinicollis. RNAcentral's name for it is "tRNA-Phe". Lineage: Eukaryota; Metazoa; Arthropoda; Insecta; Coleoptera; Cerambycidae. The record is from RNAcentral.
GUUUAAAUAGCUUACAUGAGCACAAUAUUGAAGAUAUUGGGGUAAUAUAUUUAUAUUUUUAAACA